Long non-coding RNA from Passer domesticus (house sparrow), 3706 nucleotides. RefSeq lists it as uncharacterized. The record is from RefSeq and is a predicted model, not a curated record. NCBI's taxonomy places the organism in Eukaryota, Metazoa, Chordata, Aves, Passeriformes, Passeridae. The transcript is spliced from 3 exons.
AAUCCUCAUUGGCUGAGCCUGUUACUUCCUGCUCAGCCAGCCAAUAGAAGCCUGAGUCUCCAAUGGCCUGGGCCUGCUCUUAGUGAUCAUAUUAUGGAAGUCAGCAUGUAAAAAACUCCCUGUUUCUUAUAAAGAAAGGGAAAUCAGAGGCUGUUGUUCAAGACCCCUGUGGAGGUUAAGGCUGCAUCAUCCCUGAUCCCCCAAAAGAUAUCUAACACAUUGCCCCCCUCAGGUUCAGGAGAGCCUUGUUGGCUCUUCACUCAACACCUGCAAACCCUGGCACUAGCAUUCUUGGUACCAAUUCAGCAUCCUGCAAGAAGAAAAGGUGCAGAAUGGAGCCAGCAGUCAGCAUGGCUUGUGUAGUGCUGGUGGAGACCACGUGACCGACAGAGACAGAAGCAUGGCGAGUGAUUGCCCCAUUGUGGAGCCUGGAUAAGAUCAACCUUUCAGUGCUGUAGAACUCCAUGGAAACUGUUUCACUUGAUAGAAGUUGGGAACAAACGAACUUAUGAACACCAAUUCUCUCCUGAGUCAGGAAAAAGGAAAAGGAGAAGACAGGUGAGGAGAACAACAUGGAAGCACUAAGGUAGCGACCAAGGAAGGAGGAGAAGAGGAGGGAAGAAGGAAGUGCUCUGAGUAUCAGGGCUGAGAUUCUUCUGCAAGCCAUGGUGAGGACUAUAAUACACCAAACUGUUUCCCUGUGAUUCAUGAAUCACAUGCAUGGGGGGAUGCACCACUCACCCUCAGCCCAUGAGAAAAAGGCCCUCAUGCUGGAGCGUGUGGAUGUGAAAAGCUGGUGAGAGGCUUGAACAGAGAGAGAGAGAGAGAGAGAGGGUGUUUUCUUCCAAAAACAAAGGAAGAGGGCACUUGAUUUUAUACUCUAGAACAGUUCAUCCUUUAAAACUGCACCCCAUAAAAUAAAUAGCCCCCAAAAAGCAGUUGUGGAAAGACUGGAAGCCAUGGGAGUGACUUCAUGUUGCAGAUUUUGGGCAGACUGUUAUUUGUGAAAAUUAAAACUUCAUUGAAAAAGUUCACAGAGAACUGUCUCCCAUGGGAAGGACUCCAUAACAUAGCAAAAGAGACUCUUCUCCUUAAGUGAACUGCAGGAAUAUUUUUAGAACUGACAAACUGAUUAAAGAUCCCAUGUUUUUUCUCCCUGUGCUGUCAGUGGGAAGGAAAGAAGGGUUGGGGGGGAGGAAAGGUGUUCUAAAUGUUUAUUUUUAGUUCUCAUUAUCCUCUUUUAAUUCUGUUAAUAAUUUUUUCUUUAUAUCUUUUAAAGUUUUAAGCCUGUUUUGCUCUUAAAGUGUUUUCUCCUAAUCCUUAUCUUACCCCACCAGUUUUCUUUCCCCCAUCCACUUAACUAUAGCAGAGGAAAAUGAGUAAAUUAUUUUCGUGGGUGCACUGGCAUUUGGCCAGCAUCAACCCAUUACACUUAUCUUGUGAAAAAUGUUUUAAUAUCAAAAGCAUGGAAAAAGCAGAAAAACUACUGAUAUUCUUAUCUUUGCUUACCUUUUUCUUAUCUUUUAUGUGUCUUUCAUUGCAUUAUAGUCUGUCUUUGUUUAAUUCUGUCUUGCUAUUCCUCUACAGACAAGUAAAUACCAGCAUAAUGCAUAACAAGAUAUCAUGCCACUGUGCUAUGUAAACUUUUACUUGUGCUAUAUUUCAAAAACGGAGCUCUGAUAUGAAUUGAAAAUGUGCCUCAUCAAUUGAGAUACCCAUAAAUUAUAUUUAGCAGGCAAAAUAUUCAAAACCAGCUGUGGGUGGAAGUAACACAAAAAAAACCUGUAGGACAUUUGUCUUCACUUUUUGCGUCUGUGUACAGAUAGAUACUCUUCACAGAUCACCUCUAUAUGCACAUUUGACUUUCAUUAAUGUUGCCGUAUACAUAGAACAGUAUCCCUGACCAGGCUGGCAAAUAUCUGAAAGUCUUGAGAAAAAAGAAAAAUUGUUAUUAAGGAUGUGCACUUUCUAUUUACAGAUGAACCUUAGGCUCCUGAGACAAAUAUAUUCAAUGUGCCUUUGCUAGCCAUAAAUAUGAGCCUGAUAUCUAGUCAUGAAAAUUCUUUUAUGGGCUUGACCCGCAGGUGACAGGAAAGACAUAAAAUGUAAAGGUAUAACGCUUGAGAGGUGAAUUGAUCCUUCCCAAACAAAAGCAAGAACUUGAGAUUAGAUGGGAGUAUUCUACUGUCUACAGUCCAUUUAUUGUUUUGAAUGCUCUCACUUGUGCUAAGAUAACUAGGAGAUGGGGGACUCCAUGCUAAAUGGAAUUAAAUGCUUCUCAAAUAAGUUGAGGGAACAAAUGAAAUGUAGAUCCUUUUAUUGCCUUUCUACCAGGAAGGAAAGAUGAAUUGUGGCACACAUUUUCCUCAGUUUUGUUAGUUUUCAAAGAUUUCAUCUUGCUAUUUUUAAUACAAAUGGUUAUUACUGAGAAAUUUCCUUUCUUCUCAAGGUACUCCAAGGCAUCUAAUCAGAUUAAUUGCUUCAAUUUCUUCUUCUUUUACACCAUCUUUUAGUUUUGGGCAUGAUGUCUAUCAGAAGCCUAAAGGCUCUAUUAAUUAAGAUCUGGUAGUCAAGGAAAUGUUAGCUGUGGAGCCUCUCUGAAAUCUUAAGUCUGCACUGUCAUGAGAAGGAAUCUGCUCAGUCUGUGCUUUCUUCCUAUUACAUUAUCACAAGUGUUUGUAAAAAGAGCAGGCUAAGAGCACUCUCUUCUGAGCAGCUACUGGACAGCAGUGUUCUAAGACUAGGGAGGAAUCUCAUGGACAAGAUUUUCAAAUGUGACUGCUGAUUCAGUGUUUCUCCAUCUAGGAUUUUAAACCUGAAAUACCUUCAAGGAAACGUAAAUUUUAGAAGCUAUAUUCUUAAUGUGAGAGUCAAGCUUUCCUAGACUAUUCCAGUGUGGUUUUUGUUUUAUUAGUAGGUUUAUUGUUUGAUUUGUAAUUUAGUAGUUUUCUUUAUGCUGUUUCCUUUUGCUCCUGCUUCUUUCCAGAACAUUCGUCACUUUUCUUGUUGUUAGUUGCUAGUUUCUAUUUCCCCAAACUUUAUCAGUUUACUGAUAUUGUUCUCCUCCCUUGGAAAUUUUAUUGGUUUAUACACUGUGGUUCCCACCUGGUUUUUUACUCCCAGUUCUCCUGAUUUGUUAAAUAUUGUACCCUCCCCUGAGACCUGCCCCCACAUAUAAGUUCUUCUCUGCCCCUUGUUCCUGGUCCCCAGGAUGAAGAGGGGAAGUUUCACCAUCAAAGAAAGUUACCCUGGGACCUGUAUGCUGCUCUGUGUUUUAUGAUGCACCAACACUGGCACCUGGGAUUCAAUGGGGCUCGAGUGGGGGAUCUUCUGCCCCCUCUUCCCCCCACCUCCUGUCAUCAGCUAGACAGGAGGAGGAGCGGCAGUAGAUAUUUCAGAUUUUCUACCAAAACUACUGAUUUCCUGCCAUUGUAAUGUCCCCUGGGUAUGUAGUGUAAGUUAGUAAUUUGAACUUAUGCUAUUUAGUAUGCUGUCUUUAGAUAAACUAAUAGUAUCUAAUUUAGUUAGUAUAAGUGCAUUUGAUAGGCCAAUACUACAGUAUUCAAGAUAACAGAAGUAAAAAAAAAUAUUCAGAAGACUACAACAAAACUUUUUCUACUUUAUAUUAGCAAGAGACAGAACCUUUGGAAGAGAAAUGUUUUCUCUCAAUUGAUGUUACACUAUUGAAUAAAUGACUUUUUGCUUA